UCCUACGGGAGGCAGCAGUGGGGAAUAUUGGGCAAUGGGCGCAAGCCUGACCCAGCAACGCCGCGUGAAGGAAGAAGGCCCUCGGGUUGUAAACUUCUUUUAUCAAGGACGAAACAAAUGACGGUACUUGAUGAAUAAGCCACGGCUAACUACGUGCCAGCAGCCGCGGUAAUACGUAGGUGGCAAGCGUUGUCCGGAUUUACUGGGUGUAAAGGGCGUGCAGCCGGGAAGACAAGUCAGAUGUGAAAUCCCGCGGCUCAACCGCGGAACUGCAUUUGAAACUGUUUUUCUUGAGUACCGGAGAG
This 305-nucleotide ribosomal RNA is filed under the name uncultured bacterium. RNAcentral describes it as "bacterial SSU rRNA". It matches the Rfam family "Bacterial small subunit ribosomal RNA", at positions 337 to 656 of the family's 1533-position model. The record is from RNAcentral.